Molecule: long non-coding RNA, 361 nt
Filed under: Chinchilla lanigera (long-tailed chinchilla)
Lineage: Eukaryota; Metazoa; Chordata; Mammalia; Rodentia; Chinchillidae
Description: lncRNA (ENSCLAG00000022905.1)
Source: RNAcentral
CAGAGCUGCUUCUUGGGGUCAUCAACCUGGACACAAAUGAAUACGAAAUUGGGCACACACCAAGACUAGGCUUGAAAGUCGUUCAGCAGAAUGCGCGCAAGUUCCGGCAGCUGCGUUUGCGGAGCUGGUGGAGGCUCUACAACAAGGCAAGAUGCUGGGCAUGGUGGCUCAUGCCUGUAGUCCCAGCACUCGGGAGGCUGAGGCAGGAGGAUUGUUGUGAGUUUGAGACCAGCCUGGACUACAAAGUGAGCUCAAGGCCAGCCUGAACUGCAUAACAAGACCCUGUCUCAAAAAAACAACAAAACAAACAAACAACAACAAAAAAAAACCACAAAAAACAAGGUGAGGCCUAGGGCUAAGA